GACGAACGCUGGCGGCGUGCUUAACACAUGCAAGUCGAACGGAAAGGCCCUGCUUUUGUGGGGUGCUCGAGGGGCGAACGGGUGAGUAACACGUGAGUAACCUGCCCUUGACUUUGGGAUAACUUCAGGAAACGGGGGCUAAUACCGGAUAGGAGCCCCUGCUGCAGGGGGGGGGUUGGAAAGUUUCGGCGGUUGGGGAUGGACGCGCGGCUUAUCAGCUUGUUGGUGGGGUAGUGGCUUACCAAGGCUUUGACGGGUAGCCGGCCUGAGAGGGUGACCGGCCACAUUGGGACUGAGAUACGGCCCAGACUCCUACGGGAGGCAGCAGUGGGGAAUAUUGCACAAUGGGCGGAAGCCUGAUGCAGCAACGCCGCGUGCGGGAUGACGGCCUUCGGGUUGUAAACCGCUUUCGCCUGUGACGAAGCGUGAGUGACGGUAAUGGGUAAAGAAGCACCGGCUAACUACGUG
Molecule: ribosomal RNA, 468 nt
Filed under: uncultured bacterium
Lineage: Bacteria
Description: partial 16S ribosomal RNA
Rfam family: Bacterial small subunit ribosomal RNA
Source: RNAcentral